This 85-nucleotide transfer RNA is filed under the name Felis catus (domestic cat). It matches the Rfam family "tRNA". From Rfam's summary of the family: Transfer RNA (tRNA) molecules are approximately 80 nucleotides in length. The record is from Rfam by way of RNAcentral. Lineage: Eukaryota; Metazoa; Chordata; Mammalia; Carnivora; Felidae.
GCCUGGGUGGCUCAGUCAGUUGAGCGUCUGACUUCGGCUCAGGUCACGAUCUCGCGGUUCGUGGGUUCGAGCCCCGCGUCGGGCU